This 204-nucleotide long non-coding RNA is filed under the name Mytilus galloprovincialis (Mediterranean mussel). Lineage: Eukaryota; Metazoa; Mollusca; Bivalvia; Mytilida; Mytilidae. The record is from RNAcentral.
CAAGACCAAAAAAACUAGCAACCAAAUUGUUCGAAAGUAUUGAAAUACAUUAUUGAGAAGAAGAAAAAAGAUAAAGCAACCGUCUAUCAUCCGUGGUUCAGGAAAAUUAACAGACACUAAACUAAUAUCUUCUAUCUUUGUUUCAAAUUAAAAAUAAAUCAAUCAUGUUAAAAUUUAUUUGAAAAAAAAGAAGCUGGAAGUGGG